CGCCGCCACGGUAAUACAGAGGGUGCAAGCGUUAAUCGGAAUUACUGGGCGUAAAGCGCGCGUAGGUGGUUUGUUAAGUUGGAUGUGAAAGCCCCGGGCUCAACCUGGGAACUGCAUCCAAAACUGGCAAGCUAGAGUACGGUAGAGGGUGGUGGAAUUUCCUGUGUAGCGGUGAAAUGCGUAGAUAUAGGAAGGAACACCAGUGGCGAAGGCGACCACCUGGACUGAUACUGACACUGAGGUGCGAAAGCGUGGGGAGCAAACAGGAUUAGAUACCCCUGUAGUCCCUGUCUCUUAUACA
Molecule: ribosomal RNA, 301 nt
Filed under: uncultured bacterium
Lineage: Bacteria
Description: partial 16S ribosomal RNA
Rfam family: Bacterial small subunit ribosomal RNA
Source: RNAcentral